GCUGCUGCUUGGCCGGCUGCUGCCGCCGCCCCGGGCAGUCUUUCCCUCUUGGGCCAAGGGGAGAGGAGCCCCGACGGGCGUCCUGCCUCGGGAAGCCGGCAUGUGCAUCCUCCGCACGGCCCCCGCACCUAAAGCGGCUUCUUCGGUGAGGACGGGACUUGCGAAGUUGUUGAAAUGAAUUGUCUCCUGGGCAGACAGAAGUCCUGCCCCGAGUCUUCUCCUGAGUCAGGCACCUGUGGAGAGCAAGGCUUCAGGAGAUGCUCUGCGGCAGCUGGAUUUCAUCCUGAAGGUGGCCCUUAGGGAGAAAGCCUCUUCUGGUGUUAUUCCCUCCCCAAGAAUGAACAUAAAUGUUGGGAUCCCUCGGUAUCCAUGGCCUGCCGAUUGUGAUGGUGACGUUCUGUCCCUGUGAUUUGAUGCACUUCGGUGAUGGUAAUUUGAAGUAAGCACCACCAGCUGAAUGAGUAUAGAAAAGGAUCUCAAACAGGUGGGAAUGGGAAAGGCAGCAGCAUCUUCAGGCAGGUUGCCAGUGAUACAAAAGAGUGAAUGCUUUCACCUGGGGCAGAGAUACUGGGAGACAAAAAGGAGUGAUAUCAGAAAGCUUCCAAGAAAGUUAAUGUAACAGAAAAGGACACUCGGAACUACAAUUUUGAAACCAAGGUUUCUUUAAGUUUUCCCAUUAACAUGAUUAAUUUUCCUCGUACUACAAACUUGGAAAGCUCAUAGAAGACAGUUUAGAAAACACUCAGAAAUUUCUCAGGUCAUGAAAAGCAUGUGUUUUAUUUACCCCCCCAUACACUACAACAUCAAUAGAGCACCUCUGUCCUGUAGAUUUCAAACUUGCCUUGCAGAGACCUAGUCCAAGAAUAUAAUUUUGCAAGUGGGAACAACUCUUGCCUUACAGGACACUUUGUAAAUGGGCUGUCAAGUUAUAGUAUUUACUGUUUCAUUUGAAGGAUGAGUAAAUGGCAGUAGAAGUACACAGUGGGGAGAGUUUUUUAAUCAGUGGCAAUGAUCUGGGUUUGAGCUUAAAAGUUCGUAAUGGACCAUGAUCACUAUUUCAACUUGUCCUCCAGAAAAUUGUCCAGUAAAAUUCACAAUGAACCUCUCACCUGUUGCAGAGUGGGCUGAAACAGGAAUGUUUGGACUCUGUUAGAAAUACCUUUCUUGACUGAAAGAUUUAAAAAUCAAAACCUUCCAGCCAGCACAAGUUAAUUUCUACUUUUGCCACUGUGCAGGAUUUAAUAGCAUGAGAAAUGACAGUAGCGUUCUCAGCUCCUAUUUUCCAGAGUGAAAAUUUGCUUUUCUUUCCAUCUGCUGUUAUUUAGACACACAGCUUUUAUGUCCUUACUUAGGAAUUAAUAAUGCCUUUUUUUAUCCAUCAGCAAGAUUCUGGAUGAAAGGAAGUGAUUAACCUUCAGCAAGCCUGUCCCACAGAACUAAAAUGUUGGCUCACACAGAGCAAAGGCCUUUUCUGCUGUGUGUUCUUGCAUGCUGGUGAGGAAGCUGGAAGGAGACACAGCUGGGACAGGUGACCCAAACUGACCAAAGGGAUUUCCAGGCCAUGCAACUUCAGGCUCAGGACAUAAAGUGGGGCGAAGAAGGAGGAAAGCUGGGACAUUUGGAGUGAUGAUGUUCAUCUGCCUAGGUCUGUCAGGUUUGAAGAUAGAGAUCAGAAAACGAUGGACCAAGAAGGAUGUGGUGGAAAGGGUACCAGUUGAAUGACAGAACAGACCUGUGUCUCUGAAGAAACAAGAAGGAUGAGGAAGGAUGCUGCAAAAACAGCUACAAAUGUUGCAGAGGAGGAGCAGAGCACAUGAAGGUCUCCAGCCAUCCUGCAGGAGUGAGGGAUUGGUGCAAACCAAGCCUUGAGAACAGGCUCAGAAGGGCCAGACCUGUUCCACUACCCACACUCAUUUCCCCUGCAUUCUGCCUGGAGCAGAGAUAAUGCAGGCCACUUGGGGCAGCUCCAUUUGAGUGGGGAUGUGCCUUACUACAUUCCAGAGACAGCAGGUUUGGAGGGUGCAGAGAGUAUUUACGCAAUGUGUUUACUAUUGCUGACCCUUCAGAGCCCAUCACCACCCAUUCCCUGGUUGAGGCUCCAUCUCUGCAUCCAGCAUCAGGUACCCUCCAUCCUCUAUUGAGGGAUUUACAGUCAAUAAAGAGGGCCACAUGGCAGGUUCUUUUUUUGCUCUGUGGGUUGUGGUGAAAUACUGUCCAAAGCAUGUACAAAACUGUUUAAAUCACUUCCACCAAAGAAAACAGUUUUCAUUGGUAUGGUGGUAGGAAAGACAUGGUAACAGAAUUUUGGUAACUUUUUACUCCUUCCUCCAAAGUGCAAGUUGUUCCUCAGGCUCUGAUGGCAUUUUGGGGCCCCAGGGUGUGGGGGCACUGUCUCUUUAGCUGGCCCAUUCCCAGAAGCCCUGCUACAGCAGGACAGCUGUCAGAGGGACAGGAGAAGGACACUGCUGCAGGAGAAGCCAGCGUCCUUCCCGCUUCCCUGACUGCCACCCCACAAGCAGAUGGGCACAACUCAUCAGUGUCACCCUGACACAGGGCAAAGACCCUUGGGGCUUCCAGUUGAUUCCAAAUGCCCUCCUCCCAAGACUAACUUUCAUUUUCCAUCCAGGAAGCAAUGUCCAGCUGAAGCAAUGGAAUGUGGGCAUCAGAGACUCCUUGUCUAGACAGAGAGUUUAUCCCAGGCACAGUCACCGGGCUUGGACACACCCUCAACCCUUCUCCCUGUGGAAAGUGAGCACAGGCCAAGCUGGAACCCUCCUCUGCUGCUGUCAUGGUGUCUGGAAAGGAGCAACCAGCCAUUGGUGUGUUUUGAGUCUUACCUUGUGCUUUGACAGGCAGCUGCCGUGUGGCAGGAUGAGAAAUUAAUUAGCCUCAUGCUGCUGCAAGCAUUUCCAGUCCCAGCUGACAACAGACUAAUUAAGAACCUCCCUGUGGUGUCUAUUUUAGAUAACCAUUUACUUUGAUACAAUUUAACAAGGGCUUUUCUAAUGGUUUAUUUCACAGGCAACUCAUUAGAUUAAUGUGUGGCAAACAGCAGGAUCUUGAAUAGACAUUUUGAAUUCCCAGCUACCAAAAGUCAAUACAAUUUUGCCAAAGAGUGCACUAAUUUUAUCGAGGCAAAACAUAUGCUUCCUUCUGAUAUUUUGUGUCAUGUCAUUUGUUUCCAUAUGUCACCUUAACCUAAGUCCAGAAGUUUUGAAAACUGAAGGUGACCUUGUAAGCGCAGGUUCUUAGGAGCCAAUUAAUGCUCCUGAAUGAGAUUUCCCAUCAGAGUCAUUUGUGGUGCUUGCAGACUGAGCACCAGGGCUGCUAAGUGCACCACAGUGUCAGUGCUGUCUGCUUCUCAAUGAGGACUGAGGAACCAAACUUCCUGCCAGCCCAACAAUCCCUGCAUCCAUGACUAUGGAAAAUGCUGAUACAUGUACAAAUCCAAGGUUUUCACAGGAUCUCCCACAAAGCCUAACAGAAUCAGAAAAGGGCCCUAAAUCCUUGAAAUGGCAGGAAGGAGUAUCCAUCCUUUCUACCUUAACAUUCAAAUGUUAAGCUUGACCCUACCUGCUGACCCUACCUAACUGCACCACCACAGUUUGUCUUUAGGAGCCUACAGGAGUGCCAGAUGUAGCCUGGACUAAAGUAGGGACAUGGGUGGAAAAUUAAUCCAGAGGCAGCUUGUUUUUCUCUGCACAAUCUGUCCUAAUGGGAAAACAUGCAGGAGGAUUUUACUUUCCCUUUCUGUCUCUGCACUGCCUCAUGUUCACAAGUUAUAAUUGUGAGGGUGAAGCAUUUGACUCCAAAUUAAGAGGGGAUGACAGCAAAGGCGGCAGGUUGGGCCUUACAUUGCAUAUGAUUGCACAGCUUGGAAGGAGGACUAGGGCUCUGGGUGGAGAAAGAGAGCAAAGAACGAGAGCUGAAAGGGCUUGCUGGGGGAGUAGGGUGGUGCCACAGCAGCAACUAAAUACUCUGGGUGAUUUUCAGCAGGACGAAGUUCUCCACAUGACUGAGAUCAGGUUUUUCGUUGUCGCUAGAAUUAAUUGGCACAGUCUCUUUGAAAUGAAUCUUCGAACAUCUGAUGUGUUUUCUUUUUCCCUGGGGAUACUAACUAACAGUUCCCUGCUUUCAAACACCAUCGGAAACUUAGGUUAAAGCCUCAGAGAUUAAUUUUACUUCCAAGUGUGGUUGAAAUUGGCUUGUGGAUUUGGAUACAUAAUUUCAUUGGAUAAAUUGCCAAAACUGGGACUGCCCCCCUACAAGUCAUUUGCUCAGAGCCACCUGCUCAGAGAUACGCAAAUCAUCAAUGUUUGUUGAUGAAGAAGAGUGUUUCCGUGCUUUUCUUUCUAAAAUGCCAUCCCAAACUAAAAUCUCUAUAUUCUUGUCUAGAAUAACACAUAGGAAGUGAAAACUAGAAACAUUAGUGAGGUUAUCAGUUUGCAUUUCUUAGCACCUUAUUGUUUGUAAUUCUUGCCUCACUCUCCCUCGCUCCCAGAAAUUCUGUGUGACCAGAAUUUGGAACACUUCCCCUGUUUCAUGGCAACAGAGCUAUGCUGUAGAGGCUCCACAAAGCCACACACAUUAUGAUUUUUAUCCCUUGUUGCAGUCUGGUUCAGUGUAAACACUUCCUUCCCAGUCCUGUCUGAGCCUUUUUGGAUGCAAGCAGCUACAGCAAAUACCAAGUGUGACUUCAUUUGCUGUAGCUAUCUGCCCUCUGCCUCCUGAUCCUUCGGGCUGUGGCUGCUUUCCCCCUUGGCUGCAUGCUGGGAGGCUGGUAACCCACUUCCCGAGGCUGAAGGCCCCGUGGAACAGAGGGUGGCUGCAGCACCCAACAGCUCUGCUGAAGCUGAGUGCUGACAGCCAGAAGGCAGUGAGGACUGAAUGCAGUUGCCUCUGAAAUGCACCCUGUGCACUUCCCCCAGCAGAUUCCUCUGCCGCAGCCAUGUGACAAAAUGUGCUCUUGACUCGCUCCUCACAGGUAAAUACUGGCUCAGUGCUAUCAGCUUGUGUUUCUUCCUGCCAGGAGCCUCCAAGGGCGCUAUUAAGCGGAGGGUUCUAAAGCUUUUUUUCCUGAGGUGUCCGAUUUUCGGCUGUUUGGAUGGCCUGGAAAGGCCUGGGGUGGCCUUGG
Non-coding RNA from Zonotrichia albicollis (white-throated sparrow), 5134 nucleotides. NCBI's taxonomy places the organism in Eukaryota, Metazoa, Chordata, Aves, Passeriformes, Passerellidae. The record is from RefSeq and is a predicted model, not a curated record.